CAAAGUGUUGCCAGAAAGAGGAGAAAGUUAAUGUUUACCAAUGCUGUGGCGGUAAAUGCCCCAUCAUCUGACAACGCUGAAUCCAAAAGAAAAUACGCAUUAAAUGGUUUGUGGAAUACUUUCGUAAAUACUGCCAGUGAAUAUGAAGUGAAGCAAUACCUAUUAAAUUCUUCUAAAGUUAUGAAAAAGGUCCUACCAACCAUUGUCAAUACUGCUGUGAAGAGGUAUGAACUUGGCCAAAGCAACCUUGUUCGAUCUGUAGCAGUACUCCAUGAAGGUGGGAUAUCAAGCAAAAGCCAAUACAAUAGAAAACGAAGCAAAGAGAUCUUUGAAAUUGAUGAAAGUGGAAAGAAACACCAGGUCACAUAUAUGGAUAAAUGCAAAAUUCCUAAGCUUGCUGAC
Molecule: non-coding RNA, 402 nt
Organism: Paramuricea clavata
Lineage: Eukaryota; Metazoa; Cnidaria; Anthozoa; Malacalcyonacea; Plexauridae
Source: the annotation of a GenBank genome assembly